This 158-nucleotide ribosomal RNA is filed under the name Hydnellum sp. K03. RNAcentral's name for it is "5.8S ribosomal RNA". It matches the Rfam family "5.8S ribosomal RNA". Rfam says of the family: 5.8S ribosomal RNA (5.8S rRNA) is a component of the large subunit of the eukaryotic ribosome. It is transcribed by RNA polymerase I as part of the 45S precursor that also contains 18S and 28S rRNA. Lineage: Eukaryota; Fungi; Basidiomycota; Agaricomycetes; Thelephorales; Thelephoraceae. The record is from RNAcentral.
CAACUUUCAGCAACGGAUCUCUUGGCUCUCGCAUCGAUGAAGAACGCAGCGAAAUGCGAUAAGUAAUGUGAAUUGCAGAAUUCAGUGAAUCAUCGAAUCUUUGAACGCACCUUGCGCUCCUUGGUAUUCCGAGGAGUAUGCCUGUUUGAGUGUCAUGA